RNAcentral lists this small nuclear RNA (186 nucleotides) under Canis lupus familiaris (dog). RNAcentral describes it as "7SK RNA". It matches the Rfam family "7SK RNA", at positions 1 to 188 of the family's 331-position model. From Rfam's summary of the family: 7SK was discovered as an abundant small nuclear RNA in the mid-70s but a possible function has only recently been suggested. The record is from Rfam by way of RNAcentral. Lineage: Eukaryota; Metazoa; Chordata; Mammalia; Carnivora; Canidae.
GGAUGUGAGGGCUAUCUGGCUGUGACACCUGUCACUGCACUGAUCAGCAGGGUGGAUUCAGUCGAUCUGGCUGCCAACAUGAAGUCCCCUUCCUCUCCCACUCUUCCUCGUGCAUCCCUCCCAAAGCUGCAAACUCCCUUGAAAAGAGAGACCUGUCUGGAUAGAGGAAGGCCACUAUAAGUCAAG